AACGAACGCUGGCGGCAGGCCUAACACAUGCAAGUCGAACGCUCCGCAAGGGGAGUGGCAGACGGGUGAGUAACACGUGGGAACCUACCUCGAGGUGCGGAACAACCAAGGGAAACUUUGGCUAAUACCGCAUGUGCCCUUAGGGGAAGAUUUAUCGCCUUGGGAUGGGCCCGCGUCGGAUUAGCUAGUUGGUGUGGUAAUGGCGCACCAAGGCGACGAUCCGUAGCUGGUCUGAGAGGAUGAUCAGCCACACUGGGACUGAGACACGGCCCAGACUCCUACGGGAGGCAGCAGUGGGGAAUAUUGGACAAUGGGCGCAAGCCUGAUCCAGCCAUGCCGCGUGUGUGAUGAAGGCCUUAGGGUUGUAAAGCACUUUCGCCGAUGAAGAUAAUGACUGUAGUCGGAGAAGAAGCCCCGGCUAACUUCGUGCCAGCAGCCGCGGUAAU
Molecule: ribosomal RNA, 446 nt
Filed under: uncultured bacterium
Lineage: Bacteria
Description: bacterial SSU rRNA
Rfam family: Bacterial small subunit ribosomal RNA
Source: RNAcentral